Molecule: non-coding RNA, 71 nt
Organism: Trichonephila clavata
Lineage: Eukaryota; Metazoa; Arthropoda; Arachnida; Araneae; Nephilidae
Source: the annotation of a GenBank genome assembly
GCGUCGAUGGUUCAAUGGUAGAAUGCUCGUUUCCAAAUCAAGUGACCCGGGUUCGAUUCCCGGUCGGUGCA